GCGUGGUUCCCAAUCUCGGCCUAAUUGUCUGCGCCAGCUGGAACCACUUAUCUUCCCUUUAUAUGUUCUGUAACCAGUGCUUCUUGUUGUCAGAUCGUUGUUUCUUCCCUGAGAUUGUGUCGUGUGUCCGUGCUCUUCUCUUGUGUGGAUUAUCUGCUGUGCUCCUUCCUACUCAUCCGGACACACUCCCCUGGUUUUCUCAGCACGUUAUCAUUGGAAGAUGCGCCCGAGUCCCUGGGUCGGAUUCCGUCUGAGUACAGUCUGUCUGCCCUGUUGCUGCUGUGAACUAUAUUCAUUAAACCAUCGUUGCUUGCAUCUUGCAUCCGCCUCUGUGUUGUUACAGCCAGACUUUAAUGACAAAAUUUGCCCACGAAAGACCGCCGUGCCACCUUCCUGUGAGCACAGCACAACAAGGACGCUGACCAAAGGGACGAUCCCGGGGAUCAGGAGAGGACUGGUCGCCUCCGCUGAUGCACGGAAAUCUGACAAACCGGCCGAGGUAUAGGAGCCCAACGAACCAGCUGAGACGGGUCCGGUGUACGCUGUCAGAUCCCUACUGGACUCCCGACGUCGUAGGGGCCGGCACCAGUAUCUGGUGGACUUGGAGGACCUGAGCCCUAGGACCAUGCCUCAGGACUACCUGACAUAAUGACUCCUUGCUGUCCCCAGUCCACCUGGCCGUGCUGCUGCUCCAGUUUCAACUGUUCUGCCUGUGAUUAUUAUUAUUUGACCAUGCUGGUCAUUUAUGAACAUUUGAACAUCUUGGCCAUGUUCUGUUAUAAUCUCCACCCGGCACAGCCAGAAGAGGA
Long non-coding RNA from Oncorhynchus masou masou (cherry salmon), 809 nucleotides. RefSeq lists it as uncharacterized. The record is from RefSeq and is a predicted model, not a curated record. NCBI's taxonomy places the organism in Eukaryota, Metazoa, Chordata, Actinopteri, Salmoniformes, Salmonidae. The transcript is spliced from 3 exons.